Molecule: non-coding RNA, 173 nt
Filed under: Clostridiaceae bacterium
Lineage: Bacteria; Bacillati; Bacillota; Clostridia; Eubacteriales; Clostridiaceae
Description: 6S RNA
Rfam family: 6S / SsrS RNA
About the family: E. coli 6S RNA was the first non coding RNA to be sequenced, but its function was unknown until recently. It consists of 184 nucleotides that fold into an extended hairpin structure with a large single-stranded internal bulge. The 6S RNA specifically associates with RNA polymerase holoenzyme containing the sigma70 specificity factor.
Source: RNAcentral
GGUCACCUGAAAUGCGCGGUGCUCUCGUUUUUGGACCACCAUUCUUUGAAGGGGAGUCCGGGUCGAAGUGGAAUACGAACAGGCCUUUCGGAGGAAGUUCCAAGACCACCGCAGGGCACCCACCUGGCGUGAGGCUGGGUAUCAAAAAGGGAGUCCGCCAUUUCGGGUUUCCU